RNAcentral lists this ribosomal RNA (491 nucleotides) under uncultured bacterium. RNAcentral's name for it is "partial 16S ribosomal RNA". It matches the Rfam family "Bacterial small subunit ribosomal RNA", at positions 29 to 506 of the family's 1533-position model. The record is from RNAcentral.
AGUGAACGCUGGCGGUAGGCCUAACACAUGCAAGUCGAACGGCAGCACAGUAAGAGCUUGCUCUUACGGGUGGCGAGUGGCGGACGAGUGAGGAAUACAUCGGAAUCUACUUUUUCGUGGGGGAUAACGUAGGGAAACUUACGCUAAUACCGCAUACGACCUACGGGUGAAAGCAGGGGAUCUUCGGACCUUGCGCGAUUGAAUGAGCCGAUGUCGGAUUAGCUAGUUGGCGGGGUAAAGGCCCACCAAGGCGACGAUCCGUAGCUGGUCUGAGAGGAUGAUCAGCCACACUGGAACUGAGACACGGUCCAGACUCCUACGGGAGGCAGCAGUGAGGAAUAUUGGACAAUGGGCGCAAGCCUGAUCCAGCCAUACCGCGUGGGUGAAGAAGGCCUUCGGGUUGUAAAGCCCUUUUGUUGGGAAAGAAAAGCAGCAGGUUAAUACCCCGCUGUUCUGACGGUACCCAAAGAAUAAGCACCGGCUAACUUCGU